This 492-nucleotide ribosomal RNA is filed under the name uncultured bacterium. Its description in RNAcentral is "partial 16S ribosomal RNA". It matches the Rfam family "Bacterial small subunit ribosomal RNA", at positions 29 to 507 of the family's 1533-position model. The record is from RNAcentral.
AUUGAACGCUGGCGGCAUGCUUUACACAUGCAAGUCGAGCGGUAACAGGCCUUCGGGUGCUGACGAGUGGCGAACGGGUGAGUAAUGCAUCGGAACGUACCCAGAGGUGGGGGAUAACGCAGCGAAAGCUGUGCUAAUACCGCAUGUGAUCUGAGGAUGAAAGCGGGGGACCGAGCAGCAAUGUUUGGCCUCGCGCCUUUGGAGCGGCCGAUGUCGGAUUAGCUAGUUGGUGGGGUAAAGGCCUACCAAGGCGGCGAUCCGUAGCUGGUCUGAGAGGACGACCAGCCACACUGGGACUGAGACACGGCCCAGACUCCUACGGGAGGCAGCAGUGGGGAAUUUUGGACAAUGGGCGCAAGCCUGAUCCAGCAAUGCCGCGUGCGGGAAGAAGGCCUUCGGGUUGUAAACCGCUUUUGGCAGGAACGAAACGGUGUCCGCUAAUACCGGGCGCUAAUGACGGUACCUGCAGAAUAAGCACCGGCUAACUACGUG